Molecule: ribosomal RNA, 253 nt
Filed under: uncultured bacterium
Lineage: Bacteria
Description: partial 16S ribosomal RNA
Rfam family: Bacterial small subunit ribosomal RNA
Source: RNAcentral
UACGUAGGGUGCGAGCGUUGUCCGGAAUUAUUGGGCGUAAAGAGCUUGUAGGCGGUUUGUCGCGUCUGCCGUGAAAAUCCGGGGCUCAACCCCGGACUUGCGGUGGGUACGGGCAGACUAGAGUGUGGUAGGGGAGACUGGAAUUCCUGGUGUAGCGGUGAAAUGCGCAGAUAUCAGGAGGAACACCAAUUGCGAAGGCAGCUCGCUGGGACGUCACUGACGCUGAGACGCGAAAGCGUGGGGAGCAAACAGG